RNAcentral lists this ribosomal RNA (335 nucleotides) under Clostridioides difficile. Its description in RNAcentral is "bacterial LSU rRNA". It matches the Rfam family "Bacterial large subunit ribosomal RNA", at positions 2588 to 2925 of the family's 2925-position model. The record is from RNAcentral. Lineage: Bacteria; Bacillati; Bacillota; Clostridia; Peptostreptococcales; Peptostreptococcaceae.
UUAAAGUGGUACGCGAGCUGGGUUCAGGAGGUCGUGAGACAGUUCGGUCCCUAGCCGUCGCAGGCGUAGGAAAUUUGAGAAGACCUGUCCUUAGUACGAGAGGACCGGGAUGGACGUACCUCUGGUGUACCAGUUGUCCUGCCAAGGGCAUGGCUGGGUAGCUAUGUACGGAAUGGAUAAGCGCUGAAAGCAUCUAAGCGCGAAGCCAACUUCAAGAUAAGAUUUCCCACCGCAAGGGUAAGACCCCAGAAAGACUAUCUGGUUGAUAGGUCGAAGGUGUAAGUGCAGCAAUGUAUUUAGCUUAUCGAUACUAAUAGGUCGAGGACUUGACCAAU